This 6763-nucleotide long non-coding RNA is filed under the name Homo sapiens (human). RNAcentral describes it as "HSALNT0372452". The record is from RNAcentral. Lineage: Eukaryota; Metazoa; Chordata; Mammalia; Primates; Hominidae.
AGACAUAGUGCCACUGUCAUCCCUGCUGGAGAAGGUCCGAAGCACCUCCACCUCUGUGCUUCCAGAGGGGCACUGUGGUGGCCACUUAAAAUGCUCAGGCUAUACCAUGCACUAGAGCAUCUACCUGGGCAAGGGAUAUGCUGUAUGACACUCUCCUGAUGCUGGGCAUGGCUGUGAGCCAAAGCACCCAGGCAGCCCUGCCAUCAGAAGGGUAAACCACGGACACCUGAUGCCUUCCUGAAGGAAGAGCACUACGCCUGCCAAACCAUCAAGCGUUGAUGCUCCAGCGCCUUCUACCCGUGGUUCUCCAGCCUCAGCAGAAGAGAGAGAAAUUGAUGACCCUGUCGUUGUAGCAUCCCCAUCACCCAGCAAUUAAUUUUAGUUCAAUGCUUCAAACGCUCUUCAGGCGCAGUGUGCGUUCAGCUGUGUCAGCUAAUGCAAAUGGGGGAUCUCAGAAGUCUUAAUGAAGUAACUAUCCCUGAACACUGGGAUCAAUACUCAGCAUCCAGCUGUCAAAUCAACACCAAGCGUUUCACUCGUCGCCCAGCCUAGAGUGCAAUGGCGCUAUUUCGGCUCAUUAUAACCUCCGCCUCCCGGGUUCAAGCAAUUCUUCUGCUUCAGCGUCCCAAGUAGCUGGGAUUACAGGUGAGCACCAUCAUGCCUGGCUAAUUUUGUAUUUUUAGUGGAGAUGGGGUUUCACCAUACUGGCCAGGCCGGUUUCAAACUCCUGACCUCAGGCGAUCCGCCCUCCUUGGCCUCCCAAAGUGCUGGGAUUACAGGGAUGAGCCACCACCGCGCCCGGCCUUGAUGUACUUUUUCUAUUAAAUGAUCUAAGAACAAUUUUACGGGCAGAAAGUAUGACUGUAAUAAAUGUAUGCAAUCCAAAACUACCACCCACCAUCUAUGAAAAUACAAAAAUCAAGCUGUCAUGCCAAAUCUAACUGGUUACUUCUGUUUCUCUGCUAAUAGUCGUUAGCUACACUCAUUUAUUUGUUUUAUUGUGACAGUGUCCACUGUCAGAUAAGUAAGAGCAGGUGCUGAAAUUUUAAGAAACAUUUGAGGGAACAUUUUCAAUGGAAUCUGUUGAAGUUGAGGUGCCUUUAGUACACUAGUAUAACUGCAUCACCCCUGAGUGUUAGCGAUAAGUGCAAUGAUUUAAUUUUACUGUGGAACUCCCAAGUCCAGCUUAUGGAAUAAAUUCCGGAUCAUAGUUUGAGAACUACUGGCUUAAAGGGUCCCAUUUCUUGCUUCUUUAAGUGUCAAACAGUGACUGUGAGAUAUAUAUAUAUAUAUAUAUAUAUAUUCCUGGCCCAAGUGAUGGGCAAGCUUCAAAGCAGUUGAGGACUCCAGUCAAAACUAACUGUGCCCCCUGAGUGUUCUAGCUCUGAGGAUUUGGUCCCUGGCUUCUUCCUUCAAUCUGCACCAUCAAGAAGCAUUCUUGGCCAGGUGCAGUGCCUCACACCUGUAAUCCCAGCACUUUGGGAGGCCGAAGUGGGUGGGUCACUUGAGGUCAGGAGUUUGAGACCAGCCUGGCCAACAUGGUGAAACCUCAUCUCUAACUAAAAAUACCAAAAUUAGCUGGGAGUGAUGGCCUAUGCCUGUAAUCCCAGCUACUCAGGAGGCUGAGGCACAAGAACUGCUUGAACCUGGUAAGAGGAGGUUGCAGUGAGCCGAGAUCAUACCACUGCACUCCAGCCUGGCCAACUGAACGAGACUCUGUCUCAGAGAAAGAAAAAAAGAAAAAAAAUCUUCUAGGCUCUGCACAUAGGCCAUGUGCUAAAAUCAGCAUUCCAAGGGCCAGAAGGACUCCUAGAGGCAUCUUUCAGAUGCUGACACUAGUUCAGAGCCUCACAGAUAGCUCCAGUUUCUGCCUAAGUACCUUCAGGGACUGGGAGCUCACUACUUCCCCCAAAAAAGGUUCUUAUGAACCAUCAUCUCCUAUCUCCACCCUCUAAAACCACCCAGUUCUUAACUUCUGCUUUGUUUUUGCUAUCAGCACUCUCUGCCUUGUAUUGUUGUUAUUUGGAUACUUAACUGUCACACAGUGGUAAGGGCUUAGGUUUUGGAACCACUUGCAUUAGAAUCCCAGCUCCGUAUUUAUCUCCACCAUUUACCAGCCAUGUGACCUUGGCAAAUUACUUAACCUCUCUGAGCCUCAGUUAUCGCCUAUAUGGGAUGGGAAUAACCUUAGGGUCUAUUUCAAGGAUUAUUCGGAGGCCUAAGGUAAUGGGAGGAAUCUGCUUGACAUGUAGAAAGCUCUCAGUACAGCAUAGAUAUUAUUAUUAUUCCUCUGCUAGACUACAAAAUCUCUGAGGGCAGGGACCUCUUCUUGGAUAUCUUUGAACCCCUCCAUAACAGUGGGCAAAGUGUCUGUCAGAGGGUUUUAAUGAAUGCAUCACACAAAAGAGACCGUACUGAACAAGAGAGACAGGAAGCUUGGAUAAUUAUUUGAAUAUCUACAGUCAUCAGAAGGCUUAUAAAUGUAAAGCCAAAGCUCCUGCCAAAGAAAUGUGUGGAGCAGAAAAGAAAACCCAGAGCAGAAUGUCAAGAGCAAGGAUGUGUUGGGACAGGAAAUGAAGACGAGAUUGGGAGAGGUCAUGCAGAAUCAGGUCACAUUCUGGAGGGAAGAAGGAGCAAAGGCACAUGAUGAGAGAGUGCUAAUUAAGGUGGCCAAAGAGAACAGUGUGGUGCUGUAAAUGCCGGCAGAGCAAGGAGCCCUGCUGCCAGCCUGACCCAACACAGUCACGUUGAUGAAAAUGGAAAAGGAUGGCUGGAGGCCUUCAGUUGCAAAGUUCUCCAUUGUCAGAUUACGCUGCCUGAUGGGCAUGAAAAGUCCACAAAAGAGAAUUUUCUGAUGUGAGAAUGGAGGGUGUUGCCUGCAACUACCCCAGAUCCCUGCGGUGGCAGUUUAAGCCGCCUCCUGGAGCAGAUUGUUAAGCUGAUGCGAGUCUGGGCUCUGCCUCACCACUUGUCUCAGAGGAAAGACCUGAUGUCAUAUGGAAGCCAAGAAGAAACUCUUGUCCAAUUUGUAGGGAAAGCAGAGAGACAGAGAGACAGAGAGAGCUUCAGCUUGGUUUCAAAACAAGGAUGGAAAUACAGAACAACUUAAGUUACCAGCACACUUCAUAACAAUUAAAAAUCAUCUCGCUUCUUCCUUCUGCCAGCAUAAUUUUGGGCUCACAGGUGGAUUGACCUGACCUCCAAGAAAUGUGUGACAAGGACUCGCCCCUUACCUCCUCAGUUACAGCACGUUUGGUGUUUAUGUGAAGCUGGUGGCUUUCAGUAUCAUGGUGAAAAUUUUCUUUUAGGUCAUAAUUGCUUAACUACAAUGAAAAGUAUUGAUUUUGGAAAAGGCUCAUCUUCCCAAAGAGGUUCACUUCAGGAGGUGAAUUAAUGUGCUCCAGGGACAGUCAUGGAAAAUGCUUGGCCACACUGGCCGUGUUCUGUAGCCAGGCAUUGCUGAACAGUGCAGAGAAAGGCGCUGGAGGCAGACAGAGCUGGGCUGGAAGCCAGGCUCCACUUCAUACCAGAAGUAUGAGCCCGGGCAAGUUAUUGAACUUCUACAGCUUAGUUUACGUAGCUGUGAAAAUGGAUGAAUAAUGCCUGCUUGUGCUGUUGUUAGGGAGGGGACGCCUGCUUGGAGGCGAGUAUGCAGUAGGUGCUCAGUGAGUGGUGAUGAGAUAAAAAGCAAUGCUGCUCAUUUUCUAUAUUUCUCUUUUCAUACUUAUUGAGAUUACAAUGGAGAGAAGGGACACCAGCUUAAAAGAAAACAUUUGCAAAUCUGUUUCUGAUAAAUGGAAAUGAGAGCAACUGUAAACCACAUGAGUCUGUCCAGGACAGAAGAGAGUGAGUGAAGGAAGGCUUUCUCAGCUGGGUGGUUAUGUGAGCAGCGCCUCUACUGCCUCUCUGUUAAGUAAUUUAUCUGGACAUCUUGAUUGAUAAUGAUGUGGCACUAAAAAACGAAAAGGCAUCACAAAACUGCAAACCCUCUGCUUGCACUGUGGGAAUAAAAUUGGUCACGAAAAGGUGAUGGCCACAAAAAUCUGGUGGCGGGGUGGGGGGCGGGGGGUGCGGGGAAUAGAAAAUCUUACAUAAUAUCUAUUCCUGUGUUAUUUUUUUAAAAUCAGUUUAUACAGUCUAAUUUUUAAAAACAAAAGCUAGAUUUUAGCUCUUCUCAAUCCAGUGAUUUGAAAUCAGCCUGAAGAGAGCAAGGUGCAUUGAAUUUGCUAUGACAUCAACCGAAUUUGUCAAUUUCAUUUGGAUUUCCAGAAUGUCCAGUGCUAGGAGACUCAUAAGUUGGAGAGAAACGGCCUGAUUUAUAGAAACUGAGCGAGACUCCGGACCACCUGAUGCAGAGAAACCUGUGACCUGAAAAAGUCUAUUUGUGUUUCCUCUAGGAAUCUCGGCCAAGAAGACAGGGACAAGCUCCCAACUCUGACUACCCCUUUUACAGGGAAAAAAAAAAAAUCCCGUGCCUUCUUUGCAGCAAGUGACAAAUCCUUGUCAUAUCGAGAUGGCUUUUCCUCCUCCUCUUCAAACAUCUUUUAGCAGCAACAGCAGCUCAAGUAACUGGAAUUAUUUCAGAGUUAAAAUGCAGGCUUUGUAGACCCUCUUAGACAGACAGAUUCAAUUUCAAAGGAAACUUCUUUGGCUGGGUACUCAGUGAGUGUUACACAGGGAUUUGGGGAGUUAAUAUUCACUGUUUCUGUUGUUGGAGAAAAGGAAAGCAGAGUUGCUCUUUCUCAUUACUCUCCCCAACGCACAUCUGUUUCCUCUCGUAUCUUGGAAUUAGGAAGAUGGAGGAGACUUAAGUGGUGACCCACCUAGCCUCCUGAUGCAUGCUGGGCUCACUUUAAAACUCCCAAAACAGAUGGCAGUUGAUCACGGUUUUAAAGAUCCCAGCAUAGACUUUCUGCAGCCUCCCUUGUUAGCCACUAUCAGCGCUUAACAUUCUGUCAUCUGAAUAACUCCUUAAAAAUGAUAGCAAUGGUAGUAGAAAUUUAAAAGGAACCUCCCAAAAAACAUGCAAAAGCUUACCACCCCAGUAAAUCACCCGCAACAAUGUCGCAACAGUUUAAAUUUACUGCAGAGAGAGCUGAAGUUUAGGAGACACAGCUUUAUAAUAUUUUUGAGAGAUAGUUGAGUGCAAAUGAGUCCUGUUCCUCUUGCAUCAGGGCCUGCUCCACUGAGUCAUCCUGCCUUCAGAAGCUUCCAGCUAAGUGGCAGGCCCCGGCCAUAGGCUCCCUGUGUCCCCAGCCUCCAGAGAACACACAAUGUUCUCAUCGCCCUUAGCUCCAUUCCAGAAGGGGCCUGCAGUUCUGCAGCUUAUCAGGGGUCUACUGGGAAGUGAGAUGUCACUGUCCCUUUCUGGCCCUGCAUUGUCUGUGAGUGGCUCUCCUGGAUUAAGAGUUGGCAAAGUAUGGCCAGUGGCCAGGACUGGCCUGCUGCCUGUUUUUGUUUAACCCGUGAGCUAAGAAUAGUUUUUACCUAUUUUAAGUAGUUGAAAAAAAAAUCAAGAGAAGAAUACUAUUUCGUGAUAUGUGAAAAAUCACAUGAAAUUCAAAUGUAAGUGUCCAUAAAUAAAGUCUUACUGGAAGACAGCCUUGCUCAUUUAUUUCUGUCUCAUUCGCUACUGUCUGCGGCUGCCUUCACGCUACAAUGGCAGUACUGAGUAGUUGUGACGGGCACUGUAUGACAGCAAAUCCUAAAGUAUUUGCCAUCUGGCCCUUCACAGAAAAAGUUUGCUGACCCUGGCUUUCGAGCCUCUCAUCACUUUGGGAUUCAUCUCUUUACUUUCCCCAGAGUGAGGGAGGCAGUAACGUUCCUCGUGAGUGCUUAGUCCUUGCUCCCAAGGCAAUAAACCCCCCAAAACCCCUCUCUUUCUGCAGUCUUCUUGUUGGCUUGAUAGUGGUAGGGCUGGUUCAGCCAAGGUCACAGUUGGAGGGCAGGAAGGGGGUACAGCGAAGGACGACGGGGGUGUCUUCUCUAGUCCUGUUUGCAGCAAUCUUUAGAAUGCAAAAUAAUUAAGAAGAAACUGCUGUUUUUUGGCUGUGGGAUGCAAUUCGAAUUCUGGAAAAUUAGAAUCAACAGAACGUGGGAUGUGGGAGUCCAGGACAACUCCCCUGUUUUGGCUGUGUUUGGUGCCAUGUGUGGAGGUGGGAGAGAUGGGAGAAAGAAGAGGUUUGGGCAGGGGGAGGGAAGAAUCAAGAUUCUGCUUUGAAUGGACGAAGGUUGUGGUUUGUUGAGAGGACAACUAGAUAACUGGCCACUUGAAGAUGGGAUGGAAGUCUGAAUCUGCAAGGAGUCACAGAUGAAUGGUAUGGAAAGCUGUGGUAGUGGAUGAGAUCAUACGAACGGUGGGUGCAGAUGGAAACGAGAAGCCAUCUAAGGACUCGUAAUGGGCUCCUCAACACUUGGAAGUUGGGUAGAGGAAGAAGACCGCAUGAGGGCAGGAUCCUGAAUGUUCCACUCACUGCUAUAUCCCUAGCACUGGUUACAGUGCUUGGCACACACUGCAUGCUCAAUAAAUUAUUUGUUGCCCAUAUAAGUGAACGUGAAUUCCAAUGGACUAGCAUCUUCCACUCUCAACAUAAACAAAAACAACAGCAACAUUGCAAUUCCCUAUCUUCUCUUCCCUGAUCUCUUUCUCAUUCUGUCUCUCCUUCCCUUUUCCUCUGCCUUCCUGUUGCCUUCUCUGAUAUGAGUUAAAUUUAUCAGGGGUGUCCAGGUACCCGGCUAUUCUUGAGCAUUCCUUAUCUGGCUA